UCGGGAAUUUUGGGCAAUGGGCGAAAGCCUGACCCAGCAACGCCGCGCGAAGGAUGAAGUAUUUCGGUAUGUAAACUUCGAAAGAAUAGGAAGAAUAAAUGACGGUACUAUUUAUAAGGUCCGGCUAACUACGUGCCAGCAGCCGCGGUAAUACGUAGGGACCAAGCGUUGUUCGGAUUUACUGGGCGUAAAGGGCGCGUAGGCGGCAAUUCAAGUCAUCUGUGAAAUCUCCGGGCUUAACUCGGAACGGUCAGAUGAUACUGCUUUGCUAGAGUGCAGAAGGGGCAAUCGGAAUUCUUGGUGUAGCGGUGAAAUGCGUAGAUAUCAAGAGGAACACCUGAGGUGAAGACGGGUUGCUGGGCUGACACUGACGCUGAGGCGCGAAAGCCAGGGGAGCAAACGGGAUUAGAUACCCUGGUAGUCCCUGAGCGGGCUGGCAAGGCGCAU
RNAcentral lists this ribosomal RNA (447 nucleotides) under uncultured bacterium. RNAcentral describes it as "bacterial SSU rRNA". It matches the Rfam family "Bacterial small subunit ribosomal RNA", at positions 355 to 825 of the family's 1533-position model. The record is from RNAcentral.